Molecule: ribosomal RNA, 157 nt
Filed under: Cylicocyclus nassatus
Lineage: Eukaryota; Metazoa; Nematoda; Chromadorea; Rhabditida; Strongylidae
Description: 5.8S ribosomal RNA
Source: RNAcentral
GAACGCAUAGCGCCGUUGGGUUUUCCCUUCGGCACGUCUGGUUCAGGGUUGUUUAUAAAUACUACAAUGUGGCCUGUUACAUUGUUUGUCGAAUGGCGCUUGCAUUCAUUUGCGAUCCCCUUCCUAGAAAAGAAGCAUAUUGCAACAUGUAUGUUAG